GAUGAACGCUGGCGGCGUGCCUAAUACAUGCAAGUCGAGCGAACAGACGAGGAGCUUGCUCCUCUGACGUUAGCGGCGGACGGGUGAGUAACACGUGGAUAACCUACCUAUAAGACUGGGAUAACUUCGGGAAACCGGAGCUAAUACCGGAUAACAUGCUGAACCGCAUGGUUCAACAGUGAAAGACGGUCUUGCUGUCACUUAUAGAUGGAUCCGCGCCGCAUUAGCUAGUUGGUAAGGUAACGGCUUACCAAGGCAACGAUGCGUAGCCGACCUGAGAGGGUGAUCGGCCACACUGGAACUGAGACACGGUCCAGACUCCUACGGGAGGCAGCAGUAGGGAAUCUUCCGCAAUGGGCGAAAUCCUGACGGAGCAACGCCGCGUGAGUGAAGAAGGUCUUCGGAUCGUAAAACUCUGUUAUUAGGGAAGAACAAAUGUGUAAGUAACUAUGCACGUCUUGACGGUACCUAAUCAGAAAGCCACGGCUAACUACGUG
RNAcentral lists this ribosomal RNA (497 nucleotides) under uncultured bacterium. RNAcentral's name for it is "partial 16S ribosomal RNA". It matches the Rfam family "Bacterial small subunit ribosomal RNA", at positions 28 to 507 of the family's 1533-position model. The record is from RNAcentral.